This 2003-nucleotide long non-coding RNA is filed under the name Lactuca sativa (garden lettuce). RNAcentral's name for it is "long non-coding RNA (LSAT_LNC004330)". The record is from RNAcentral. Lineage: Eukaryota; Viridiplantae; Streptophyta; Magnoliopsida; Asterales; Asteraceae.
UCAUAUGUUAUUAGAAAACAUAAGUUAUAAAACAAUUAAACGAUUUGUAUUUUGUGAGUGUCGUGUGCCAUUGUGCUUUUCAUUAGCAUAACAUAAAAUUAGAGGUGCAAAUUGCAAUGUCUAAAUCUUAUUUCACAUUUAAUUACCUUACAUUUAGAUCAUAAACAUCUCGUGUAAAAAGAUCAUGAAUGAUUAAAUGAUUUAUAAUCAAAUAAUAGCCUAUAAUGAUAUAUCAACAACUCAAAUUUACCAUUUUUAUAUAAUAUAACAAAAUCAAUUUUAAUAAGCUUUAUCAACUAAAUAAUUGUCAUCUAUAGAACCAUUUUCAUGCAAGCGAUUGUGAAAAUCCAACACAACAUGAAGACCUAUAAAAUUAAACACCAACAUGCACUCCAUUACAUUAUCCUAGAAAUUACAUUUAAUCAAUCUUUUUAAAAGUCUAGUUAUACAAUUUGAAGUAGAAUGAACAUAACCUUGCACCAUCUUGCAAACUCCAUUAUAAUUUAUACGACAUAGACCGUUGGGUUUAGACUUUAGAUGGUUAGUUGCAUAGCUUCUUUUUGGGAUCCCGCUGAACAUGAUUAUAACUUUUAUGAAAAGAAAAUGCAAAAUAUUAAAAUAAAUUAAAACACCAAAAUUUUAAAAUCAAGAGGUAUGAACUACAUUAGUUGUAUCCAUUCUUGUUUUGUAUUGUUGUGAAGUAGUCUUGUUACUCACGUGAAUCUAGAGGUAAUGAUUAGAGCAUCUUCAUAUAUAAUAUUUUUCAUUCCAACCAAAAUCAUAAUUAUACAAUAUAAAUUUGGAUAAUAAGAAACAAGAAAAUGAAAAAAUAUUUCUUACCAUAAACUAUCAUAUUUCCUUCUCAUCGUCAUCUUCCUCUUUUUGAUUACUUAUGCUCUCCAUUGACAAUCUUUAUGUAUGGAGUUUCUAAUCAACCUCUCAAACACUCACACAACUUUUUAAACCAUUCUAAUAAAAAUCUACCAUUAUGAAUUAUAUAUAUAUAUAUAUAUANNNNNGUUAAGUAUAAUAAAUUAAAAAAUUAUUGAGUGGUAGUUGUUAAUUAGAUGCUAGUAAAAGGUUAUGUAGGUUUAAAUAUAUAUUAAGGAAUCAUUAUUAUAAAGAAAUAUGAAAAGCCAUGGAAGCUUCAAAUGAUUGUGGUGAUAGAAAAAAUGUGUCAUUUAUAAGUAUAGUAUCAUAUUAAAUUUAAACCUUUUAAAUUUAUAUUUUAUGUAUUUCCAAUUCCAUUUUCUUAUUAAAUAACGUUCAACAUAAACAUUCAAAUUCGAAUUGAAGUUUAAUAAUAUACAAAUUUAAUUAAUUAAUUGUUCAAAUCUCAAUUUCAAUUAAAUAAUUUCAAAUUAAUUACUAAAUUCAAAUAUUUAGAUUUAAAAAGUUAAAAAAUAUUGUAAUCUAAGAGGCUUAUCACAAAAAUUCGAAAUUUUAGAAAAUUCUUGAAUUUUGUCCAGCUCGCUAGAUGCGUUGCGACCAACAAUUGGCACGUGCACCUAUGACUAGACGUGUUUUGUUUUUUUCAAUUUUUACCAAGUUUGUGCUAUUAACUAAAAUUGGUUAUGCUAUGAUACCACCGUUAGGGAUUAUUAACACCCAAUACACAUCAUAGGGUAGCAGAAACAGUCAACAGAUUUAUCUAAGUGCACAUGCAUCCUACAAUCCAGAUUUUACUUGUUACAACAACAUAUUUUAAAAAUGAACAAAAUAAAUAAUUACUAACCUCAUAAUUGCUUGUUUAUGAUCUUGUGUCUGUCAACUCGUUACAAUGAUGAUGAUCCAACGUAGCACUCAUCUAAUGGAAUCAGACCCACAACACCAAAAGUAAAAGGAAGAAACCCAAAACUAGGGUUUAUUCAAAAAUCAACUCUUGGGAGAGAGGUUGUAAAUUCCUUUUGGAAAGAGAGAGAGAAAGAGAGAGAGAGAGAGAGAAAGAGAGAGAGAAAGAGAUAUAGAGAGGUAGUGGACGAAUUUGGUGAGAGAAUAAUCAC